Molecule: long non-coding RNA, 4953 nt
Filed under: Homo sapiens (human)
Lineage: Eukaryota; Metazoa; Chordata; Mammalia; Primates; Hominidae
Description: HSALNT0202735
Source: RNAcentral
CCUUAAGGACGCAGAGUGGCGUCAGAUUUGGAGAAGCGCCGGGGACCGUGGAGGAAGUCAUCGGCCUGGAUUUCUUUGGAUUUGCAGAUAGGGUUCCAGCAGAACUGGAAGGUGGGCGAGACAGGCCCUGCGCCACCAUUUGAGCAGCGCUGGGAUAUAAAACCAUCUGCUAGCCCUCUCCUUGCACGUCUGGGGCUGGAAAAAGUAGUUCUGGGACUGGGUACGGUGCUGGAAGGGGUACUAGGCAGGAUGAAACGACGGGGCCCACGACGCUCCAAAAGGAAGCCUUCUGGACAUAUUUCCUGCCUAAGUGCUCGCUCUGGGGUGGCAGAGGGGUCCACCCAAAAUCAGACAGAGCUAGGCUAGGCUGAGCCCUUCAGGAGCUCACAGUCUCCUGUAGUUUCCAAACCCUAACACAAUUAACCAAGGAAUGUAAAUGUCUAUAGCAGUUGUUUUAGAAGUUCCUUGAGAACAAAAAGGGAAGUUAUUAAAUCUGAAGGAGUGGAUCUGGAAAGGUAAAAGGAAAGCUGCAUAGGUUUUCACUAGGCAGGAAACAGUGGCAGGGCAUUCAUUUAAAAGGCAUUCCAUUCCAGGCAGGAGCAAGGCCAAGAAAGCAUAGAGGUGAAGAAACUUUAAGGUCACAUAACAAAGGGCCUUGAACUGAAACCAUGCAAAAGAGUUUGUUGUGUAAACCCAAGGUCAAGCUACAAGGCAAACACCGUUUUCUCAACACAUCAAUAUACCCUCUUUAAAAAUGAGCUUUUCCUUGGAACUAUUCCUUUAAGAUAUCUGUCUUCUGAUUAUAUGGAGGUGGUGUAGGCCAAGACUCGGAAACAUGCAGUAUUGAUUUUGGUACAAGAAACAACUCUAGGUACUCUGAGGAGUUUGGCACAGAGGUUCAAAAAAUGAGCCUUAGUUCUCAGUAAGUCUUCACACUACAGCUUUUCUUUUUUAAUAUUUGUUUUACUGUGCCAGACUCUACAGCUCUGUCCUCAAAGAGCACAUAAUCUUUAGGGAAACUUACAGGAGAACAGCAAGGUCAGGAGAACUACAAGUAGUUCCUUAUAUCUUGAUGACAGACCCAGAUACAGAUUUUAUUCCUGCCAUUUACUAGCUAUUUGAUACCGGAGAUGACGUUUAACUUUCUUUGCUGCUUCAUCUACAAAAGGGGGGUAAUUAUACUAAUACCUAUGAAAGAGGGGCAUUUUCAGGCCUAAAUAACAUAGCAUAUGUAAAGCCCUUAGAGUUUUGUCAAUGCUCCUACAGGAAUACUGUAGUUGAAGAAGUUGGGAUUAUUACUCAGGGAGGGAGAACAUGCACUAUGGGGAGCCAUGAAGUGUCUUAGGUAAAUGGUAUUAGAAAGCACUUAAAGGAUUUGGGCUUUGAUUAGGUGAUUUGGGAAAGACUCCGUGGAAAGAGGUGGGAAGGGUUGCUCAAGAUUAAGUGCCUUCAGGAAGUGGAGACAGUUCAGUGAUUAUCUUAUCUAGGAGGAUGGCAGGCUAAAAGACAAGCCUAAAGCUGUAACUGACAAGCAUUAGUCAUCCAUAUCAUGGAGAGAGGGGAAUGUUUGAUUUUGAAAGACAAAACAAAUUAAAGAUCUAAUUGGCUUUUAUUUGCAAUUCCAGAAUAGGCAAAACUUCAUUCUCUAAAAUAGAAUCUGUUCCAAUGAGCUAAGCAGAGGAGGUUGGCUUUAUAGGCAGAAAAAAGCUAGAGAACAGAAAUAAGGAAUGAGAAGCAGAUGAGUUGUUUCAAAGUUACUUUCCUUAUAGGGUUAAAACAGGGGAACUUUCUUAGCAUACCAGCUCAGAUAAACUUGGCCCCUUCUGAUUGGGUGCUAUGAAUUUCCUGCUUUUUGGAAAACUGGCUGGUUUCAGAGUUGCUUUUGAUUAUGUGGCAAUACGCAUGAGGGACCAUUCUGCUUUGGUCUGGUCUGCCGGAGCCUAGUGCAGCAGAUUAGUCCAAAACUAAGGUUAGUCUAUAAUCAUUUCCCAUGAAUUUAUUUAACAUUGAUAUUUUCUGAUUUGCAUACUGACCUUGUUAUUGUCUGUGCUUAGACAAAACAUGGAAGUGAUCUUGUUUUGUCUCACUUCAUCAUGGUCACAGAGUGACCCUGUCUGAUAUUGCUGUUCUGUGAGAUGCUGUUCAUCAGGAGAACAACAUGGCCUAGCUAUGAGUGUCAGGCCAGUUUCUAAAAACACUGAGGCUUAGCUAUAAGUGUCAAACUAGUUCCCUGAUGUCAGGGACUGCUCCUUUCUUUCUCAUGUCUUUGCCACAUAGAAGGUACUAAAUAUAAGUAAACAGGAGCCAUGAUAAUUAAUUUUCAAGUUUACGUACAGCACUCUGAAUUUUUUCUCAUAGAAAUGCACUGGAACUUCAGUGUACUAGUGAAAAUAUCUUUGUAUAAGUUUUAUGUUUUUUAAAGUACAUUUUAUAUGUGUGCCCCAACAUACUUAAACCUCAUAACAGCAUGCACUGACCCUCAUUUUGAUCACCCAGCGAGAUGAUACACCCCAGUGAGUCAAUAGUCAUGGAAAUAGAAAGUUGAAGGUGAAAAAAAAGGCCUGGAAAAGCUUGGAAUCUAGGAAUAUAUUUCUUCCCUUUAUCAUUUCUGUUCAGUGUCAACAUCCAGAAAAUUAUUAAUGCCUUUCUUUUGAUGGCUCACUCUUAUGGACCAUAUGAGAAAGUUGUUGAAAGCUGAGGGAAGGAAGUGAUUAUCCUUAAUCAAUUUUUUUAAAUGAGAUGUCAUUUACCCUCAUUAAAUUGGCAAAUACUACAAAGUUCCAUGUUUCCAAGUUUGGGCCAAGUUGGGAAUUCCUAGAUAGAUAGUGGAAGUGCAAAACAGGUAUAGGCACUUUGGACAAAAACUUGGUAAUACCUAGUAAAGGUGAAGGUAUGUGUACCUAUGACCCUGCAAUUCCAUGUCUAGAUGUCUCCCUGGAAAAGCCCAAACAUACACCUACAAAGAUAUUUCUUGAACACUUCUGCCAUAUUAUGAUUAUCUAUAUAUGUAUAUAUAUAUAGAUACAGAUUUUCACCCAUGGUUCCUAGUUCAUAAGUUUCAUAACUCUUGUUACAGCCUUUUGUUAUAAUGUGAGAGUGCUUUAGGCCUCAGAAGUAGGCCUCAGGGAACAGAAUCUCUCUCUGGGAACUUCUGCUCUCCUUUCACCUGCCCAAGACAGGAAUCUAAUCUGAUGGUGGGUCAUAAGACCCUCAGGCCAGAGAGAGUCCUGCCCCACGCUCUAGAGAAAGGAAUGCUGCACAGAGAGACCAGGAAAAUCUGAACAGAACAGACAGGCCUUGCUGGGUUUAGAGCAUACCCUUUUGUGCAAUCACAUUUCGACACAAUUAUCCAUGCUUCAAUCAUGAACAACCAAUGAAGUCUACAUAAAACGCAGGGUUCAGAGAGCUGAACACAUGGAGGCUGACAGGAAGGUGAACAGGAACUCAUCCACAUUCUGGGAGGGUGGUGCACUUCAACUCCACAGGGAUAGAAGCUCAUUCAGGGCCCUUCCAGACCUCACCCUAGGUAUCUUGUCAUCUGGCUGUUUAUCUAUAUCCUUUAAAAUCUCCUUCAUGAUAAACCAGAAAAUGUGUUUCCUGAGUUCUUUGUGCCUCUCUCCAAAUUAAUCCAGCCCAAAGAAGGUAUAAUGGAAACCCCUGCUUGAAGCCAGUGGAUCAGAAGUGCUAGAGGCCCAGACUUGUGAUUGAUGGGAAGGAGGACGCAAUCUUGUAGGACUGAGCCCUCAACCUGUGGGAUCUGACACUAUCUCUGGAUAAGGAGUAUCAGAACUGAAUUGGAAGACACUCAGCUGGUGUCCACAGGAGAACUGAUUGCUUGCUUGCUGGUGAAUUGCUGUGUUGUGGACAUUCCUCAAGAUCAAAUGUACAUAAAACCUGUCUGUAUCUACGUCUCUCCUUAGGGUGUCCAUUUGUGUGCAUUAUUUGCUUUCUGUUUUGUUCUUUGAACCCAUUGUAACACAAUAGACUUAAAAUUAUUUACUAAAUUUGCUUUGAUUAAGGUAUUGCUGUUUAUAUUUGGGUCAUGAAAGAGUAACGUGUAAUUAGUUGCAACAGUUACAAGGGCAAGUUAGCGUCCUUACCUUUUUGCUGAGAUGUCUGAAAUAUUUACAGUUUCUUGUGAAAUCAAGCUGUGCCUGCACACUGUCCUGACACUGCAGUCACAAGUCACCAGAUAAUUUUAUACUGCCAGAGCCUCAUUCUCAGUCUUUGAUCCCUCUUUAUUUGCUGCUGUUGAUCACAGUAUCCUUCUUGAGACUCUUUUCUCACUUAUUUCUCUCAUCAUCUCUCUAAAAAUUAUCUCCCUGACCUCUGCUUGGGCUUUUCUUUCUCUCCCCAUCUUCUAGUGGGAUGGUAUGCCUCUUUGUGUAGAAUGCUUUGAGACAGAAAGCCUGAUUUAGUUCCACUAUGUGGGCACCUUCCAAAUAAUAAAACAACUGGAGGAGUGAAUGCUUACUCAGGACAAAUCUGCCUCAGUUUAUUCAUGGGGAAAAUGAGGAGUUCAAAUUGUAUUCCCCAGACAUUCAAACUGGGAUACUCAGAGCUCUAAGCUUUCACACCAGUACUUCAGGGACCACUGCAGAAGGUGAGGGAAAAAGCAUCCAUGUGGUAUGAUUCUAGACCCUCCCUCUAGGGACGUUUAAACUGACAUUGCUUUUACCUGUUUGUUUUAUUAUUCAACACGAGGUACCAUGUGAAACAAAAAAAGAAGUCAGCAAAAAAGAAUAAAACCUUUAUUAAAUGAAAUGGGUUAUAAAUCAGUGUUUCUUUUUUCUUUCAGUUUUAGAGAUGAGGGUCUCGCUAUGUUGCCCAGGCUGGUCUUGAACUCCUGGGCUCAAGUGAUCCUCCCAACUCGGCCUCCCAAAGUGCUGGGAUUACAGACAUGAGCCACCACACCCGGCCAAAUCAGUGUUUCUUAACCUUUUUUCAAAAUCG